Long non-coding RNA from Python bivittatus (Burmese python), 1051 nucleotides. RefSeq lists it as uncharacterized. The record is from RefSeq and is a predicted model, not a curated record. Lineage: Eukaryota; Metazoa; Chordata; Lepidosauria; Squamata; Pythonidae.
AUUCAGCUGGACUCUAAGCUGCCUUGCAAAACAAGUUGUCCAGAUGGAGAUGUUUGGGCCCUGAGUUGCCAGCAGAAAUCUGGGUGUCAGCAGAUGAAUGCACUGGAUGCAAUGCUGGAGGCCAGCACUAUCAAUGCUCACUCCCAGUCUAUUCUGCACAAAUCAUCUUUGGAAAUCUCUGGAGGCAAUUUGAUCCUGCAAGUCUUCAGGUUCAAUUGGCAAGCUAACAGAUAAGAGUGAAUGCACUGCAGAUUAGCAUCCAGCUUUGAAUUCUUAUCCAGUCUUUUGGAGUUAGGCUCAUCAUCAGUUUUCUAAAGGGUUUCAAGUGCCAUCCUUUGCGCCAAUUCCCAGUCCCAAAUCAAUCAGUUUCAAGCCUCAUUUUAUAUUCAACAAAUGUGGAGAACCUCUCGAUUGCUGACAUUCUUUUCCUACUUUUUGACACUUUCCGUUCAGAUUGCAACUAUUUUUUUAAUGAAUUCUUCCAAGCACCUGGCUAGACUGGAGAUAGCUGAUUUAUAAACAAUGGCCAGAUUAUGGGAUUCCCCCUUUUUUGCAAUAAAAUCCAGCAUGAAAUCACUUGACAAAUGUACUUGUUCAGUUAUCUUCAUUAUGAUAAAUUAUUUUACAUCAAAUCACAACCAAAUAGACUGAAUCAUGUGAGAGCUGCUUGACACUCUGAAUAUAUUGCUUUGUUUUUAAAACCUUUUAGCAAUUGGCCCAUAAAUAUGUUGUAGCUAAGGAGUACUGCAUCUUUAAGUAUAUUAAAUGCAGUCUUCUGUGACCAAACAUAAUAGGAUUUUUAAAUGAAUUUUAAUUGCAGUACUUAAGAAACAACUUUUUAAACUUUCAACAUGUGCAAGGCCUUUUGAAACUGACCAAUUCAAAUUAAACCUGGACAAAUAACCGUCUUUUUUGAUAGCAUGGUUACAAGAUUAUAUCACCUGUCAAUGUCAAAUAUAUGGAUAAAUGGGGGAAGUUUAAGUGUGUGUCUAUGUAGGGCUCAGAUUUAAAUCCUCUCAACAGGGGAUUUCAAAGAGAAAGAAAUGCAAUA